AGAAGUGAGUCUAAAAUCUCUGAUGACAUUAAAGCGCCCAUAGUAUGCUCAUUUUCAGGUUGAUAAUUAUAUAUUGAGGUUGUAUCAGAAUAGGUUUACUUGGUUUCAUUUU
Molecule: long non-coding RNA, 112 nt
Organism: Etheostoma spectabile (orangethroat darter)
Lineage: Eukaryota; Metazoa; Chordata; Actinopteri; Perciformes; Percidae
Exons: 4
Source: RefSeq, a predicted model, not a curated record